CUCAGGGCUGGCUACACUUACAUUUUGCAGCGCCUGGUAGUUAGCUGUGGUCGUCAGCUGGUAGGGCCAGCGCUGCGUGUGUCCCACUGACAGCUACCAGUGCUGGCA
This is a non-coding RNA of Chelonoidis abingdonii (Abingdon island giant tortoise), 108 nucleotides long. NCBI's taxonomy places the organism in Eukaryota, Metazoa, Chordata, Testudines, Testudinidae. The record is from RefSeq and is a predicted model, not a curated record.